Molecule: ribosomal RNA, 556 nt
Filed under: uncultured bacterium
Lineage: Bacteria
Description: partial 16S ribosomal RNA
Rfam family: Bacterial small subunit ribosomal RNA
Source: RNAcentral
UGGGGAAUUUUGGACAAUGGGGGAAACCCUGAUCCAGCCAUCCCGCGUGUGCGAUGAAGGCCUUCGGGUUGUAAAGCACUUUUGGCAGGAAAGAAACGUCGCGGGUUAAUACCCCGCGAAACUGACGGUACCUGCAGAAUAAGCACCGGCUAACUACGUGCCAGCAGCCGCGGUAAUACGUAGGGUGCAAGCGUUAAUCGGAAUUACUGGGCGUAAAGCGUGCGCAGGCGGUUCGGAAAGAAAAAUGUGAAAUCCCAGAGCUUAACUUUGGAACUGCAUUUUUAACUACCGGGCUAGAGUGUGUCAGAGGGAGGUGGAAUUCCNCGUGUAGCAGUGAAAUGCGUAGAUAUGCGGAGGAACACCGAUGGCGAAGGCAGCCUCCUGGGAUAACACUGACGCUCAUGCACGAAAGCGUGGGGAGCAAACAGGAUUAGAUACCCUGGUAGUCCACGCCCUAAACGAUGUCAACUAGCUGUUGGGGCCUUCGGGCCUUGGUAGCGCAGGCUAACGCGUGAAGUUGACCGCCUGGGGAGUACGGUCGCAAGAUUAAAAACUU